UGUAUAUGGAUGUCUUGAACAUAUGGUUAAAAUUUUGGAUUUAUCUGACGGUUGGAUCAUUAUAUAUUAAUUUGAAUGUACAAAGUACUAAAUUAGGUAUUAAGGAUUGACUUAAAUUGAAUAAGUGAUUUUGAUAGAACUAAAAUUAUUUUGAGAUGGGAUAUAGUGUUCAUUGAAUUAUUAAGUGAUUGUAGAAUAUUUUUGAGAAAUAAUUAUGUGUGUUUAGUUGGAUUUUAGUGAUAUGAACAUAUUUUGAAUAUUUGGGUUGAGAUUUGGGUAUAAAAUGGUGUCAUGUAUGAUUCCUAUGGGUCCUUUAAAUUUUAUAUACUUAGUUGAGAGUGGAAAAUUCAUAUUUGUGAAUGGUUAAAUUUGGGGUGAAUGUGAGCAUCGAUAGUUGGAAAAAUGAUUUGAUGUUUUUGGAACCAAUUAUAAUUGAAGGAAGUAAAUUGCAUUAAAAUGGAAAUUUGAGUUUAUAGAGGAAGUGGUAGUGAAAUUGUGAUUUUAGUUAUGCAAGUUAAUAUGUUGAUAUAAUUUUGGAGUUGUGGAUUUGAGUUCGUGAUAGGAAGUUUAGUUUAAUUUUAAGAGGAGAUGUUGUCGAAUUUUCAUUAGCUUAUUAAUAUGAAAAAUAAAGCAUGUGGUUAAUUUUGAUUAUUGGAUUAUUGAUUUUUUAGGAGGAGCUUUUGAAUAUGAAUUUAUAUGGAUGGAGAUGUUGCAAUCAGGUAAGUGGUAUUUUACAAUAUAUAGCAUGAAUUUGCAUUUUAAUUGAUUUUAGUUCCUUCAAAAGUUGUGAUUUGCUUUUGAUAUCAUUUGUUAUAUUCUGAUAAUUUAAUUUCUCAUUUUGAUUCAAUUUAAUUCUAUUAUAUAAUUGUUCAUUAUUAUUCAAAUGUUAUUUCAUUUAUAUUAGCAAGUCUAGAAAGAGAGUUAAGAAAUUAUGAGAAUGGAAAUAGUAAUGAGAUUAGUAGCACAUUAUAGAGCGCUAGUAGCUAAAUUUAGUAAAUAUAAUUUGAUAUUUUAGAAUUAUGAGAAAUAUUAUGAGAUUGUGGAUUCACAUGAUAAUUGAUUGAUUAUUUAGCUAAUUUGGGUAGCAAUGAAUUUUUACUAAGUAUAAUUAUGUUAUUGAAGAUGGUGAGUUUGAUGGUAUCUGAUUUUGACAACUAUGACAUAACUUAAUAUCAUUAUGAGAUAUUGAAUUGUAGACAUAGUAUCAUUAUGAAAUAUUGAAUUGUAUUUAGCAUAAUUGCUCUCGCUAGAGAGAUACCAGUAGUUUAAUUAUUACAGCAGAAAAGGAUUGCCCAUAAAGAGGUGGAGUCGCCGUUGUAAGGUUAACACAAUAUAGAUAUGAUUUUGAUAUCUAUUUUGAUACCUUAGCAUAUCCUUAGUUGUCAAAAAUCAAUUAUCGAUAUUUUUACAUAUGUAAGAAAUGAUUGAAAACUAGAAAGAAUUUAAUUUGAAAUGGAUAUAAAGAUCUUAGAAUUCACAUAGCAUGCAUGUUAAAAUUUAUUAUCUACUUUAUUCAGCUUGUUUUAAAAAAUUUUAUUAUUUAACUUCUUUUUCUCUACUUCCGCAUGCUGCAUGAUAUACAUUAUAAAUGCUAACUCACUAAACUUUUCCCUAAAAGUUUACUCCUCCCAACUCACCAGUUUUGCAGUUGAUAGUGAGAUGAAUGUUGAGUAUGGUUUUAGAUGCUCCAAUUGGCUAAACUCUACAGUCUUAGAAAGCAAAGGAAGAAUAAUUUUCAGUAGGGAUAAGGGCGUUACACGCCUUAUUUAAUACACUCUCUCGUUCUUGUUUUGAUUCAAAUUAUAUUUACUAUAUAAUGAAUUAUCAAAUAAAAUUUUAAACCUUCUAUCUCUCUGCCACCUCUAAGACUAGAAGACAGAAUUACAGCCACUAGCUACUAGCCAUACCAGUGUUGAUAGCCAAAAGACUAGCAAAUCUAUAUGAGAAAAAAGCAGAACAUAUAUCAACUCCAUUGUACCAACGGCGAGAAAAGACCACCUGAAUUCAUUCUAACAAACAUUAAUAAUUGUCACUAUAAAACAUCGUCACACUUCAAAUCUUCAACCAAGGCGAUGUUAUUGUUUAUGUCUAAUUCAAAAGAAUGGGUCUAAAUUAAUUAACCGAGAAGGAAGGAUGACAUGAAGGAACCUGUUCUGGGUCGAUCAUGAUA
RNAcentral lists this unclassified non-coding RNA (2170 nucleotides) under Hevea brasiliensis (rubber tree). The record is from RNAcentral. Lineage: Eukaryota; Viridiplantae; Streptophyta; Magnoliopsida; Malpighiales; Euphorbiaceae.